RNAcentral lists this ribosomal RNA (253 nucleotides) under uncultured bacterium. RNAcentral describes it as "partial 16S ribosomal RNA". It matches the Rfam family "Bacterial small subunit ribosomal RNA", at positions 524 to 776 of the family's 1533-position model. The record is from RNAcentral.
UACGAAGGGGGCUAGCGUUGCUCGGAAUCACUGGGCGUAAAGCGCACGUAGGCGGCUUGUUAAGUCAGGGGUGAAAUCCUGGAGCUCAACUCCAGAACUGCCUUUGAUACUGGCGAGCUUGAGUUCGGGAGAGGUGAGUGGAACUGCGAGUGUAGAGGUGAAAUUCGUAGACAUUCGCAAGAACACCAGUGGCGAAGGCGGCUCACUGGCCCGAUACUGACGCUGAGGUGCGAAAGCGUGGGGAGCAAACAGG